RNAcentral lists this ribosomal RNA (453 nucleotides) under uncultured bacterium. RNAcentral's name for it is "bacterial SSU rRNA". It matches the Rfam family "Bacterial small subunit ribosomal RNA", at positions 340 to 786 of the family's 1533-position model. The record is from RNAcentral.
UACGGAAGGCAGCAGUGGGGAAUAUUGCACAAUGGGCGAAAGCCUGAUGCAGCUAUGCCGCGUGUAUGAAGAAGGCCUUAGGGUUGUAAAGUACUUUCAUCGGGGAGGAAAAACAAAACUAAUAAUUUUAUUUCUUGACGUUACCCGAAAAAGAAGCACCGGCUAACUCCGUGCCAGCAGCCGCGGUAAUACGGAGGGUGCAAGCGUUAAUCGGAAUUACUGGGCGUAAAGCGCACGCAGGCGGUCUGUUAAGUCAGAUGUGAAAUCCCCGGGCUUAACCUGGGAACUGCAUUUUGAAACUGGCAGGCUUGAGUCUUGUAGAGGGGGUAGAAUUCCAGGUGUAGCGGUGAAAUGCGUAGAGAUCUGGAGGAAUACCGGUGGCGAAGGCGGCCCCUGGACAAAGACUGACGCUCAGGGUGCGAAAGCGUGGGGAGCAAACAGGGAUUAGAUACC